GUGCUCACUUUGGCAGCACAUAUACUAAAAUUGGGACAACACAGAGAAGAUUUGCAUGGCCCCUGAGCAAGAAUGACACACAAUUUGUGAAGCAUUCCAUAUUUUU
Molecule: small nuclear RNA, 106 nt
Organism: Spermophilus dauricus (Daurian ground squirrel)
Lineage: Eukaryota; Metazoa; Chordata; Mammalia; Rodentia; Sciuridae
Source: Ensembl